Molecule: long non-coding RNA, 218 nt
Filed under: Homo sapiens (human)
Lineage: Eukaryota; Metazoa; Chordata; Mammalia; Primates; Hominidae
Description: non-protein coding lnc-CCDC126-3:1
Source: RNAcentral
ACAUAUACUGAGUUAAGGCUGGGCGCCGUGCCUCACGCCUAUAAUCCCAGCACUGUGAGAGACUAAGGCAGGCAAAUCACCUGAGGUCAGUAGUUCGAGACCAGCCUGGCCAACACGGUGAAACUCUGUCUCUACUAAAAAUACAAAAAUUAGCUGGGUGUGGUGGCACAAACCUGCAAUCCCAGCUACUUGGGAGGCUGAGACAAGAGAAUCCCUUC